Molecule: ribosomal RNA, 496 nt
Filed under: uncultured bacterium
Lineage: Bacteria
Description: partial 16S ribosomal RNA
Rfam family: Bacterial small subunit ribosomal RNA
Source: RNAcentral
GAUGAACGCUGGCGGCGUGCCCAAUACAUGCAAGUCGAGCGAACAGAUGAGGAGCUUGCUCCUCUGACGUUAGCGGCGGACGGGUGAGUAACACGUGGAUAACCUACCUAUAAGACUGGGAUAACUUCGGGAAACCGGAGCUAAUACCGGAUAAUAUAUUGAACCGCAUGGUUCAAUAGUGAAAGACGGUUUUGCUGUCACUUAUAGAUGGAUCCGCGCCGCAUUAGCUAGUUGGUAAGGUAACGGCUUACCAAGGCAACGAUGCGUAGCCGACCUGAGAGGGUGAUCGGCCACACUGGAACUGAGACACGGUCCAGACUCCUACGGGAGGCAGCAGUAGGGAAUCUUCCGCAAUGGGCGAAAGCCUGACGGAGCAACGCCGCGUGAGUGAUGAAGGUCUUCGGAUCGUAAAACUCUGUUAUUAGGGAAGAACAAAUGUGUAAGUAACUAUGCACGUCUUGACGGUACCUAAGCAGAAAGCCACGGCUAACUACGU